GUAGGUGGCAAGCGUUGUCCGGAAUUAUUGGGCGUAAAGCGCGCGCAGGUGGUUCUUUAAGUCUGAUGUGAAAGCCCCCGGCUCAACCGGGGAGGGUCAUUGGAAACUGGGGAACUUGAGUGCAGGAGAGGAAAGUGGAAUUCCACGUGUGGCGGUGAAAUGCGUAGAUAUGUGGAGGAACACCAGUGGCGAAGGCGACUUUCUGGCCUGUGACUGACACUGAGGCGCGAAAGCGUGGGGAGCAAACAGGGAUUAGAUACCCUGGUAGUCCACGCCGUAAACGAUGAGUGCUAAGUGUUGGGGGGGUUUCCCGCCCCUCAGUGCUGCAGCUAACGCAUUAAGCACUCCGCCUGGGGAGUACGGUCGCAAGACUG
RNAcentral lists this ribosomal RNA (374 nucleotides) under uncultured organism. RNAcentral describes it as "partial 16S ribosomal RNA". It matches the Rfam family "Bacterial small subunit ribosomal RNA", at positions 527 to 896 of the family's 1533-position model. The record is from RNAcentral.